AGAAGCCAGCAGGAGCCCGGGGGAGAGUUCUCUUUUCUUUGUGAAGGGCAGAGAGCCCUGGAAUGGGUUCGCCCUGAGAGAGGGGCUGGUGCCUUGGAAAGCGUCGGGGUUCCGGGUGGCGUCAGGUGAGCUCUCGCUAGCCCUUGAAAAU
This 151-nucleotide non-coding RNA is filed under the name Erinaceus europaeus (western European hedgehog). RNAcentral describes it as "Eukaryotic large subunit ribosomal RNA". It matches the Rfam family "Eukaryotic large subunit ribosomal RNA", at positions 1663 to 1812 of the family's 3401-position model. The record is from Rfam by way of RNAcentral. Lineage: Eukaryota; Metazoa; Chordata; Mammalia; Eulipotyphla; Erinaceidae.